Molecule: ribosomal RNA, 505 nt
Filed under: uncultured bacterium
Lineage: Bacteria
Description: partial 16S ribosomal RNA
Rfam family: Bacterial small subunit ribosomal RNA
Source: RNAcentral
AGUGAACGCUGGCGGUAGGCCUAACACAUGCAAGUCGAACGGCAGCACAGGAGAGCUUGCUCUCUGGGUGGCGAGUGGCGGACGGGUGAGGAAUACAUCGGAAUCUACUUUUUCGUGGGGGAUAACGUAGGGAAACUUACGCUAAUAACGCAUACGACCUAAGGGUGAAAGCAGGGGAUCUUCGGACCUUGCGCGAUUGAAUGAGCCGAUGUCGGAUUAGCUAGUUGGCGGGGUAAAGGCCCACCAAGGCGACGAUCCGUAGCUGGUCUGAGAGGAUGAUCAGCCACACUGGAACUGAGACACGGUCCAGACUCCUACGGGAGGCAGCAGUGGGGAAUAUUGGACAAUGGGCGCAAGCCUGAUCCAGCCAUACCGCGUGGGUGAAGAAGGCCUUCGGGUUGUAAGCCCUUUUGUUGGGAAAGAAAUCCAGCUGGUUAAUACCCGGUUGGGAUGACGGUACCCAAAGAAUAAGCACCGGCUAACUUCGUGCCAGCCGCCGCAGUAA